UCAAGAAAUUAAGAGUUUAUGGGGGAUACCUUGGCAUUCAAAAGCGAAGAAGGACGUGGUUACCGACGAUACGCUUCGGGGAGUUGGAAACAAGCUAAGAUCCGGAGGUUUCCGAAUAAAGCUAAACACGGGUGGGAGACCGAUAGCGAACAAGUACCGUGAGGGAAAGAUGCAAAGAACUCUAACCAUGGUCAGGUUGAAGCUUAGGUAAUACUAAGAUGGAGGACCGAACCCACUGUAUGUGGAAAAAUACUGCGGAUGACUUGAGUUUAGGGGUGAAAGGCCAAUCAAAGUCGAGAUAGCUGGAUUUCUCCCCGAAAUGCGUUUUGGCGCAGCGGUGAAUGUUUUAGCUUAGGGGUAAAGCACUGUUACGUAUGCGGGCUGGUAAUUCAGGUACCAAAUCGUUGCAAACUAAGAAUACUAAGUGUACAGUUCAUCAGUGAGACUGUGGGGGAUAAGCUCCAUUGUCAAAAGGGAAACAGCCCAGAGCACCAGUUAAGGCCCCAAAAGAAUUGCUAAGUGGUAAAGGAGGUGGGAGUGCAGAAACAAUCAAUGGGUUAAUAUUCCUAUACUAUUCUUUAUUGGCAACGAGGGACGAAGACAGCUAGACUAGCCAAAUAUUGGUUAUUGGUUAUUGGUUUAAGUAUACGAAGUGUUGAGGAGUAGAGAAAAAUACUCUGAGCUAAGUUAUGAAUACGGAAUAAUGUGUGCAUUAUCUGAAGUAGUUGAUGUUAUGCUUCCAAGAAAAGCUUGCACUGCCAUAAAUAAAGAAUACCGUACUCUAAACGGACACACGUGGAUAGGAUGAGAAUUCCAAGGCGCUUGAGAGAACUCUGGUGAAGGAACUAGGCAAAAUAGCACCGUAACUUCGGGAGAAGGUGCGCCCCUGACGGUUCAUAGCUGUUGGGGGCCGCAGAGACCAGGUGGCUGCGACUGUUUAUUAAAAACACAGGUCUCUGCUAACUCGUAAGAGGAUGUAUAGGGACUGACACCUGCCCGGUGCCGGUAGGUAAAGCUUUAAUGUUUACGCGUUGAGGUCAAACCCCGGUAAACGGCGGCUGUAACUAUGACGGUCCUAAGGUAGCGAAAUUCCUUGUCGGGUAAGUUCCGACCCGCAUGAAUGGUGUAACGACUUCCCCGCUGUCUCCAACAGGGACUCAGUGAAAUUACAUAGGUCGUGAAGAUGCGACCAUCCCGCAGCUGGACGGAAAGACCCCGUGCACCUUUACUAUAGCUUUGCACUGAAUAUUGGAUCUGCUUGUGUAGGAUAGCUGGGAGGCUUUGAAACUGGGACGCUAGUUCUGGUGGAGCCAAUCUUGAAAUACCAGCCUGGUAGCUUUGAUGUUCUAACCAUGGCCCCUGAUCGGGGUUUGGGACAGUGUAUGCUGGGUAGUUUGACUGGGGCGGUCGCCUCCUAAAGAGUAACGGAGGCAUACAAAGGUAGGCUCAAUCUCGGUCGGAAAUCGAGAGGUUUGUGCAAUGGCAUAAGCCUGCUUGACUGUAAGAAAUACAUUUCGAGCAGGGACGCAAGUUGGUCAUAGUGAUCCGGUGGUUCUUUGUGGACAGGCCAUCGCGCAAUGGAUAAAAGGUACGCCGGGGAUAACAGGCUAAUGAUCCUCUAGAGCCCCUAUCGACGGGUUCGUUUGGCACCUCGAUGUCGACUCAUCACAUCCUGGAGCUGGAAAAGGUUCCAAGGGUUCGGCUGUUCGCCGACGAAAGUGGUACGUGAGUUGGGUUUAGAACGUCGUGAGACAGUUUGGUCCCUAUCUCCUGUGGGUGUUUGAAAAUUCCGAGGACUAAACCUUAGUACGAGAGGACCGGGAAAACUCGAUCCAUUGUGUUCCGGUUGUUCCCAAAGGGGCAACGCCGGGUAGCUAAGUUCGGACAGGAUAACCGCUGAAAGCAUCUAAGCGGGAAGCCCCUUCCAAGAUGAGUAUUCUCUGGAGACUAGAUCUCCCUAAAGGGCCGUUGAAGACGACGACGUUGAUAGGCUGCAUGAGUUAUAAGAUAGGCAUUAAGUGCAAGUAUAGUAAUAUAUGAAGCUGAGAUGUACUAACAGAUCGAGGACUUGAACUU
Molecule: ribosomal RNA, 2076 nt
Filed under: Hapterophycus canaliculatus
Lineage: Eukaryota; Phaeophyceae; Ectocarpales; Scytosiphonaceae
Description: 23S ribosomal RNA
Rfam family: Bacterial large subunit ribosomal RNA
Source: RNAcentral